Molecule: non-coding RNA, 1175 nt
Organism: Salmo salar (Atlantic salmon)
Lineage: Eukaryota; Metazoa; Chordata; Actinopteri; Salmoniformes; Salmonidae
Source: RefSeq, a predicted model, not a curated record
GAGCGCAUAAGGGAGGGAAAAGAACAGGCAGUGAAGAGAGGUGGAAAAUGUACCUGUAACCUUACCGUCGUGAAAAGGAACCCAAAAGGAAACAAUGCAACAAAACAAAGUUUGCUUAAGUUUUGUCCCUGAAACUCGUCCCUGUUUUGGAUCUUGAGUGAAAUGAUUCCAUUGUUGGAGAGAUGGUUCAUUCGGUGUGGUGUAUAUGGCUGCCCACGCUGUAGCCUUACUGAGUGAGUGAGGCGUGAUCAGGUAACCCUGCCCUCUGCGUUGGAAUGGGACUCCACUGUGAAAUGAACCUGAUAGGUAAACCAGCCUGGCCCUUAAUCAAUAGUUGGCGUCUUUGUGGAGAAGAAUGUCGGUGAAAUCCAAAACCUCACUUAAGGACCUUAUCAACACCACUAAUUGGCCCUCCAGACUACUGGAGAGUAAAGCUUAGUGGCAUGAUUCGUCGCUUUUCAGCUAUUUCUCUUUGGUUGUUUCAUUGUUUUAUUUCAAUAUUUAAUAUAUUGUUCAGUUCCCUCUGCUAUUUUACUAAAUGAAAUUAUAUAUUUACUAUUCUACUAUCUUAUCAUGGUUCAUUAAUUCAGUUGAGAACUAUCACUUUUCAUAGUUUACUUACUUUCUCUUUCGGUUUGAGUAUUUCCAAUGAAUGAGUGAAAUUUGUUAAGCAAAAAAGGUUUCUAGCCUCCCUCAUGCAUGGCACCUUAAUUAAGUCAUCUAUUUGUCAUUUUGGCUUGAUUUAAGUAUCACAAAUAUAAUUUUGUAUUUCCACCUCACAUUACUUUUUUUUAUUUCUUCGCUUCAAUAUUUAAUAUAUUUCCAUGAUUUGUCUGAAAAUGCUUUCCUUCUUAACUUGUCCUUGAAAAGGUAAAAAAUCCCCCUAAAAUCCUGUCAAUGUUUCACAUAUUUUUAUAGCAGCUAUUACCAUUGAUUUAUCUAGGUACAAAGAAACAGCAUUCCACCAACAUCAACCAUAAUGUUAAUGGUUUAAAACAGUUAUGGCAAAAGCUGCUUAGUCACAGUCAUACCUAUUUAAACUGCCUGUUCUUCAGUUCACAAACUCAAUGUUUUUUUCCCUGACUUCUCACUUUAUUCCGUGAUUGGCAUUACAGUUAACAUAGUUAGCUUGUUCUUAGUUUCACAUGUCUGUUUUCUAAGCUGUAAAAAAAACA